ACGGCUCAGUAACACGUGGAUAACAUGCCCUAAGGUGGGGGAUAAUCUCGGGAAACUGAGGAUAAUACCCCAUAGGUCUGAUCUGCUGGAAUGCUUUCAGGCCGAAAACUCCGGUGCCUUAGGAUUGGUCUGCGGUCUAUCAGGCUGUAGUGGGUGUAACGGACCCACUAGCCCGUGACGGAUAUGGGCCUUGAGAGAGGGAGCCCAGAGAUGGACUCUGAGACAUGAGUCCAGGCCCUACGGGGCGCAGCAGUCGCGAAAACUUCGCAAUGGGGGCAACCCCGACGAGGGAAUUCCAAGUGCCAGCACUUUGUGUUGGCUGUUCUCCUGUCUAAAAAACAGGAGGAGUAAGGGGCGGGUAAGACGGGUGCCAGCCGCCGCGGUAAUACCCGCGCCCCUAGUGGUGGUCGAUAUUAUUGAGCCAAAAACGUCCGUAGCCGGUCUUUUAAAUCCUUGGGUAAAUCGGACAGCUUAACUGUCCGAAGUCCGGGGAGACUGGAAGACUUGGGACCGGGAGAGGUCAGAGGUACUUCUGGGGUAGGGGUAAAAUCCUGUAAUCCUGGAAGGACCACCGGUGGCGAAGGCGUCUGACUAGAACGGAUCCGACGGUGAGGGACGAAGCCCUGGGGCGCAAACGGGAUUAGAUACCCCGGUAGUCCAGGGUGUAAACGCUGCGGGCUUGGUGUUGGGGGUCCUUAGUGGGCGCCCAGUGCCGGAGAGAAGUUGUUAAGCCUGCUGCUUGGGGAGUAUGUCCGCAAGGAUGAAACUUAAAGGAAUUGGCGGGGGAGCAC
RNAcentral lists this ribosomal RNA (791 nucleotides) under uncultured archaeon. RNAcentral's name for it is "bacterial SSU rRNA". It matches the Rfam family "Archaeal small subunit ribosomal RNA", at positions 85 to 879 of the family's 1478-position model. The record is from RNAcentral.